GGUGUUUCCGGUAAGGGGAAGGCGGAAGCGGCAGUUCUGAGAGAGCCGGCGUAGGGAUGGGCAUGAGGGUCGAGGAGCUGCCCGGGUGUGUGGUGGAACUGCCUUCGACCCCGCUGGAGCCAAGUGCUGAUGCUAGUGCUGAGAAGGGAAACAAUGUCAACCUGCCUGUGGUGAUACUGCUUGGGUGGGCUGGCUGCAAAGAUAGGCAUCUGGAGAAAUACAGCGCCAUAUAUCUACGAAAGGGAUGUGUAGUGAUCCGCUAUACGGCUCCCUGGAGACUGGUGUUCUUUUCAGAAUCUUUGGGCAUAAAGUCCCUGCAGAACUUGGCUAAGAAGCUACUGGAGUGCCUCUUUGACUACAAAGUGGAGACAAAGCCGCUGCUUUUUCAUGUCUUCAGCAAUGGAGGUGUCAUGCUCUACCGUUACAUUGUGGAGCUCCUUCACACGCAGCAACCGUUCCAGCAUCUGAGGGUGGUGGGUACUGUGUUUGACAGUGCUCCUGGCAGGAGGAACCUGGUGGGUGGGCUCCGUGCCCUGUCACUUGUUUUAGCACCAUACAGUAUAUAUGUCAAGUACCUUCUUCUGCUGAUGUUUGCGGUCAUGGUGAUGACACUGCGGAUCAUGUUGUAUCCUGUGACCCGUUUUGUACAUCAGAACCACUAUGAUGCCAUGUUGAAGCAACUGUCUAGAUGGCCUGAGCUGUACCUAUACUCCAAGGCUGAUUCCAUUAUCCUAGCAAGUGAUGUGGAGAGCAUGGUAGUGGCCCGGCGGCGGCAACAGGUCUUUGUUCAGGCUGUGGACUUUGUGGACUCUGAUCAUGUCAGCCAUCUGCGGGUGUAUCCCACCUCAUAUGCAACUCAUUGCGUCUCCUUCAUGUACAGUUGCAUUGGGCAUGCUUAGGCUCACCAGGAUGCCAUGACUGCAUAUUCCACCUUCCCUUAAUAGUUUGAUACUGUACACUGUUCAUAAUUGCUCUCAAUACAAUUUUGCUGGUGAAACCAAAGUACUUCUUGCACACUGAAUAUCUGAAAUAGUCACAUUGCUGAACAGUUGGAAGUGGGACUGCAGGAUAAAUGUGGGAACAACCAAACCAGUGUAUUUUGCAAUCCAUUCAUUCUUGGCCCUGUAAGUGAGCUUUACAAAGUGCUCUCUAAAUAAGCUUUGCAAAGUGGGCUUUGUGCUAUCUCCUGUAUCCAUUUAAGCAGAUUUAUAUAUAUUUCCUUAUUUUAUAUACUGUGUCCUGCUUCUGCUUCUUAUAAGGGUCAAGGAGCUACUGGCUCUACCAGUCAUAAAGCUCUGCUUUGUCCAAAGUUUUUCCUAUUCAGCUUUGAUUUCUGAGGUUUUGGUAGACAAGAGCACUUAAGUACAAAGCUUCUUUUGCAGCACCUCCUUCCUCAUUUCUCCUUUUGUCAUUGUCUAUUUUGUGGCUGUGAAACAAAGUUCCUUCCUGAGCUGCUGUGUCCAUCCUGCUAUGGAUCCUCCUUGAUCCAUGACUGUAUCUGGGCUACUUUCUUCCUCACAGACUUCCUUUGUGUCUGUCAACUUUUAAACUGAGGAUAGAAGGAGACUUCUUGUGGAGUCAAAGCUACUUUGCAAAAAGCAGUUUAUCAACAGUCAGCCUGCAAAACUGAACUAAGAGGAAACAUUUCGAAUUCAUAUCCCUUAUGUGGUUGGGCAUUCUGCACACAGUGAUUCCUUGAAAUCCAUAUUCACCUAAAAUAAUGCCCAUAUCUUUGUAUGUUAUGUACUGACAUAAAUCGGAUUCUGUACCAAAAAGUUGGAACUGAAAGGAUGUUGUUCAGAACAAAAUACUCUUUCACUAUCCUGUUUUAAGAAUAGGGGUAGCUAGAGGGAGUUUUGUAGCAAUUAGUCAGUAUUAACUUGUUUAUGUGCCCAUAGCAGGAAGGCUGUAAAAUAGUGAAGGCUAUUGAGUGGAGUAUUAGUCAAGCUGUCAUAACUGAAUUAAUAUGCAUUAAAGGGUAGAUUAAGUCCAUCAUGGUAUCUGUGUGUAUGUGUCUCCCUUUUUCACCUUAGGUGGCUUUUCAGUCUGUGUGUUUGUUACAUCGUUGGAUGUCUUUUACUCUGAAACAGAUCCCUUUGCAUCCAUGAUCCAAGUGAACAGCAUUGGAGUUCAACCAACAAGCCUUGGUUUCAAUCCCUACUCCCACCUUAAUCUUUCAUCAUUGCUGAAAAACAAGUCUCAAUAUUGGAACUUGCUCCCAGCUGGCCACAGACUCCUCCUUAAAAUUGCAACUAUUUUGACAACAGAGAUAAUAUAGUACCCAUGACUACAAGACCACAUCUGACCACCCAUUAGUACAGCAGGAAGACAAUUGUUAUACACAGCUGCUAGAGAAGUUCAUAACUAUAAUCUUUCUACCCAAUUUUUGUGUCUAGCAAUGGGGAUGGGUUCAAAGGUCAACUUGUGAAUUGAUCUAAUUGAUCAGUCAAAUCUUUCAACUAAUUUAUUAGAAAAAUAACUUUGCAGUUUGGUUAUGCACAGUACCUAUGUCAUAAUCUGACAAUAUAAACUACAUUUGGAAAUUCAUGUCAGUUUAUACAAAUAUGAGUGGUAUUAUGCAACUGUGUAAUGCUUGAUUAAUAGCAGUAGGUUGUGUUACCAUUGACACUCUGAACUCAAUCAUUUAAAGAAUGAGCUUUUGAAUAUGAGAAGUGUAUGGAACUCAGUGCUGUACAGCCCAAAUGAAUUAAGAGGCACAAGCAAGACUCUGAAAUCGUAUGGGCAUUUAUAAGGCAACGGGAAAUGUUUGACUGUAUCAGUCCUAACCGCUUUAUCCUGACUAUAGUUUUGGUUACAGAGAUUCAGAAAAAAGCUUGGGACAGGCAACCUAGGGCCCGCCCACUAUUUUGGCCUACAACUCCCAUCAGUCCUAACCAACAUAACCAGAGAUCAGGAAUUAUGGGAGCUAUGGUCCUAAACAACUGGAGGGUCCAAGGUUGCCUACCCAUGGAUUAGCGAGAUGUAGCUGGCCCUUGCCUAAAAGCAUGUUCAUGCAGCACGUCUAAUACUCUUUAGCUGUUCCUCUUUCCUUGCCCUCAGACUGAAUAGUGGCUGUCCUAAUUAAUUUAUUAAGAAUUAAAGUUAUGUACCUUGCGGCACUGGUUAUUCUGAGCGAUAUAGCCCAAAGUAACACAUAAAACACUAUUAUCAUAUAGCUUUCUUCUGUACUAAGAUUAACCCAAUUAACCCAACUUCUUGCAAGAGCUUCUUUAGAGUUUUGACUUGUUUUGGGUUAGAAAAAAGAGUACAAAGUGAGGAGGACUUAAUAGGGGCUUAUAAAAUGAUGGAUGGUGUACAGAAAAUGUAUAGGGAGAAGUUUUUCUCCCUUUAGAAAAUGAAAGACCUGAGAGCUAUCCAGUGAAACUGAUUGACAAUAGAGCUAGGAUGGACAAAGAGGAUACUUCCAUGCAGCGUAUAAUUAAUUAAUGGAAUUCACUGUUUCACAAUGUGGUGAUGGCGUGAAGGUUAGAUGGCUUUAAAAGGCAAUUGGACAAGUUCACAGGGAAUAAGCCUGUCACUGGCUAUUAGUCAUCAUGACUAUGUGGAAUCUGCCAUGUGCAGAAGCACUUAAUACUAAUCUCUGAGCUCUGUAGCUUUCACGUCCUGUUUGUGGACCUCCCAGAGGCAUCUGGUUGGGCCCCUGGGAAACACGCUGCUGGACUAGGCAGGCUUCCUUCUGAUCUAAAAAGGUUUUUGCAUUUGAUGAAGGCUACUCCUGACUACUUUUUACUAGACAUGGCACAGAAAUGAGUUCAUGUGUUGUUUCAUAUCUACUAGCCAUAGAACAUUUGUCUUGGGGAGAAAGAAUACAAGUGGGAGAUCAAAGGCACCAAAGAAGACCAGGCUGGUGAUACUGAGAGGGUCAUUAGUUAGGAAUAGAUUUGUUAUUCCCAAGAAAAUGGGCCAAUUCUAUUAUGUGGAGUCAACCCAAAGAGAGCUACGAAAUGUAAAAGUGAUAUGUUGCUGGGCAGAAGAUCAAAGGCCAUCAGAAAGCUUGGAAUGUUCAACCUAAAUUGGGAAUAGUAUAGUGAUAAGAGUCUUAAGGGACUGUGACAGAGCUAGAGUCCAUCUCUUUGCUGUCUGAACACCUUAGUUGCCUCUGACCUCUCACUUUGAUUAACGAGCUGACAAUAAGGUAUUGAUAAGGAAUUAACCUUGAGCCCUUCUUGCUUCAGUGUCAAUACCACAGGAGCCAAAUACACGCCUUCAAUUGGAAAUCUGUGUAUGUGCACAGAGAUCCUGAGAAGCUAUUGACAUGUAAAAACAGAGAGCCAAGGUCUGGGGGCAAGGAAGCAGGGCAUGAAUUCCAGCUUGGUGUGAUGCGUGUGCAGAUGAAGUCCUGCAUGCCCAGGCUACAGCUCUUCAGAGAGAGAUUCUAGUGCAAACUCAGGGCUCCUGAUGUGCAAAUAACUAGGAAUGAAAGUGUUGGAAUGUUGAAAUAAGAUGUUAUAGUGAAAUAUUUGCAAACCUGCUUAUACUGGGCAUGUUUGCGUAAUUGUUCAUGGCUUCAUAAACCAUGGUUUAUGAAAAUGUGGCAACACAAUUGAGAUACACCCUUCCCUUUGUGCAGCUGUUUUGGCAAGAUCCUGGCUUGCAUUAAGUAGAAGACCCUUAUCCGACUAAAGAUCCUAGCUUAUUAUCCUGAUUUAUCAACCAUUGUUAAGUAGAAUCCCCUUGGCUGGUACACUGGGGAACUUUCCUUUCAUACAAGCCAGGAUCUUCACUCCAAAAUUUGUUCACAAUGAAAGAGAUAAAAUUUCCACAAAUUUUGAAGCUAUGGGGGGAAAACUUUGCUUGCUAUUGCAAUUUUGAGGGGGCAAUGGAAAAACCAGCAAAGGUGCUCUUUAUGGAUCUAAAUCAACUCAAUCUAGAUGCCUGUAUCCCCUGAGUUGAGGAUUAUGGGUCUCUUAUGUAGUGUGAAAGAGUUGGAGGCAAAGGUCACCUCCUGCAAAACAUUUAGCUCAUUGUGGCUGCAUGUUACACCUGGGAGUACGAGGAAAGGACACUGAGGCACAGCCACGAUACCAUGUAUCUUGUCAAUGCCCUUCUCCUCCUUGCCUCCUAAAACACCAGCUCCUGGGACCUUGGAGACAUAGCUGGCACAGUUCUGUCUGCUAGUUGUGAAGCAGGGAUGGUGUCUCUGAGCACAAACACCCAGCCACAAGAGCUGAGCAAUUUUCUGACUUGGUCUCCAAAAAAUCCUAUGGCCAUCUAGAUGCUGUCCAGUGGCCAUAGGACUGCACUGUUUGUUGCUGUAGGCCAGCCCUCCUCAACAUGGUGCCCUCCAGACGUUUUGGACGUCAGCGUCCAUCAGUCUCCAGAGGCAUGGCCAACAUCAGGAAUGCUGGGUCUUGUAGUGCAAAACAUCUAGAGGACACCAAGUUGGGAAGGCUGUUUUAGGAACAUAAAACAUUAUAUCCCUAAAGUUAUAUAAUGUGUAGCUUGGUUUGAUCAUAAAAAUGUCAUUAUAUUAGCAUUUUAAAGUAAACUAAAAAUAAUUUGAAAUUUUUGUUUGAAUGAGCUAUAAGUUAAGUUUAACAUUCCAAAUGUAUUUUAUGAGCAAACUAAGUUAUAGAUAACACAUUUUAGGGUCCUGUUUUAUGUCUGUCCAGAAGGAACUUCCAAAACACCUGAAUCAUUCUAGAAACCAAAAGAAUCAAGAAGAACUGGGGACAAAGGAAGACUAAUUGCACUGCAUCUGUUCUGUUUGUGACAAGUUCAGAGAACUUCCUAACUCUGUUCCUGGGUUUUCUAGUAGGAAUUAAUGGUUUUGUAUAUUUUCUUCUAUAUUAUGAUAUAGUGACUCAAAUUGAACAUGAUCUGAAACUUCACUAAAAACUCAAUAAAAGAAACAUUAACUCAGUAAUUUUAAUAAGGAACAGAAGAAAUAACUAUGCUGGUAACCCUAUAGUGAGGAUUAAAGAAAUAUUUCCCACCAUGGCUUCAUAAGUUUCAGACAUUUUAAAACUCUAGUCUUUCUAUGAGUGUUAUUUUAUAGCUUUUAGAAAUCAUUAGAUGGGAGUAAAUGCUGACUAACAACAUAUAAACACUUUGUCUUAACUUCUGAAAGAAAAUAUUUCAUAAUAUGGAACUGUUCAAAUUUUCAGGGGAAAAAAACUCCAAAUAAGCCUUAGGGGGGAAAAGGGAUUGGCUUUCCUGCCUCCCAGGCCUUCACAUCUUUACAGUGAGGUAAGGAGAGGUAUAUUCUCAUACCAUGCAUGUCCCAUUAGUUUGCAAAGCUGUAAAUAAACAUGGUCAUUAUUUUUCAAA
RNA transcript from Varanus komodoensis (Komodo dragon), 6291 nucleotides. It is a transcript of the gene named transmembrane protein 53, with no coding region annotated. Lineage: Eukaryota; Metazoa; Chordata; Lepidosauria; Squamata; Varanidae. The record is from RefSeq and is a predicted model, not a curated record. The transcript has 5 exons.